RNAcentral lists this ribosomal RNA (406 nucleotides) under uncultured bacterium. Its description in RNAcentral is "partial 16S ribosomal RNA". It matches the Rfam family "Bacterial small subunit ribosomal RNA", at positions 30 to 526 of the family's 1533-position model. The record is from RNAcentral.
AUUGAACGCUGGCGGCAGGCCUAACACAUGCAAGUCGAACGCGUGGCGGACGGGUGAGUCAUGUCUGGGAAACUGCCUUAUGGAGGGGGAUAACUACUGGAAACGGUAGCUAUUACCGCAUACCAUCGGCUUUGCCCAGAUGGGAUUAGCUAUUAGGUGGGGUAAAGGCUCACCUAGGCGACGAUCCCUAGCUGGUCUGAGAGGAUGACCAGCCACACUGGAACUGAGACACGGUCCAGACUCCUACGGGAGGCAGCAGUGGGGAAUAUUGCACAAUGGGCGCAAGCCUGAUGCAGCCAUGCCGCGUGUAUGAAGAAGGCCUUCGGGUUGUAAAGUACUUUCAGCGGGGAGGCGGUACCCGCAGAGGAAGCACCGGCUAACUCCGUGCCAGCAGCCGCGGUAAUUC